GACAGAGGUCCCGAGCGUUAGGCGGAAUCACUGGGCUUAAAGCGUGUGUAGGCGGCGGCCUAAGUACCUUGUGAAAUCCCACGGCUCACCCGUGGAACUGCUCGGUAUACUGGGUCGCUUGAGCCACUUAGGGGCUACCGGAACAAAUGGUGGAGCGGUGAAAUGCGUAGAUAUCAUUUGGAACGUCAAUGGUGAAAACAGGUAGCUGGGAGUGUGCUGACGCUGAGACACGAAAGCCAGGGGAGCAAACGGG
RNAcentral lists this ribosomal RNA (253 nucleotides) under uncultured bacterium. Its description in RNAcentral is "partial 16S ribosomal RNA". It matches the Rfam family "Bacterial small subunit ribosomal RNA", at positions 524 to 776 of the family's 1533-position model. The record is from RNAcentral.